UCCCAGGUAGCCAUACUCAAAAUGGAGGCCCUCUCCAAGCCUUUUAAAGUGGAAAGUGCUUCCAUUUUGUGUGUUGCUGUGUGGAG
Microtus ochrogaster (prairie vole) is the source of this 86-nucleotide microRNA precursor. Ensembl annotates it as microRNA 294. Its record names the gene Mir294. The record is from Ensembl. NCBI's taxonomy places the organism in Eukaryota, Metazoa, Chordata, Mammalia, Rodentia, Cricetidae.